ACUCAAAUGAAUAGACGGGGACCCGCACAAGCGGUGGAGCAUGUGGUUUAAUUCGAGGCUACGCGAAGAACCUUACCCAGGCUUGACAUGUAGUUGAAUAACCGUGAAAGCGGUUAGGCCCGCAAGGGACAAUUACACAGGUGCUGCAUGGCUGUCGUCAGCUCGUGCUGUGAAGUGUUGGGUUAAGUCCCGCAACGAGCGCAACCUUUAUUAUUAGUUGGCAUCAGGUCAAGCUGGCCACUCUAAUGAGACUGCCGGUGAUAAACUGGAGGAAGGAGGAGACGACGUCAAGUCAGUAUGGCCCUUAUGCCUGGGGCUACACACGUGCUACAAUGGCCACUACAAAGGGCUGCAAACCCGCGAGGGGGAGCUAAUCCCAAAAAAGUGGCCCCAGUUCAGAUAGGAGGCUGCAACUCGCCUCCUUGAAGUCGGAAUCGCUAGUAACGGUAGAUCAGCUACGCUACCGUGAAUACGUUCCCGGGUCUUGUACACACCGCCCGU
RNAcentral lists this ribosomal RNA (501 nucleotides) under uncultured bacterium. RNAcentral describes it as "partial 16S ribosomal RNA". It matches the Rfam family "Bacterial small subunit ribosomal RNA", at positions 899 to 1397 of the family's 1533-position model. The record is from RNAcentral.